UUUAUUGUGAGAGUGGACAGACAUCCGAGAUUUCAGAGCCCCAUAUUCGAGCCCCGUGGAAUCCCGCGGCCCCCAGCCAGAGCCAGCAUGCAGAACAGGGAGGGCGGAGUUCAGCGGCGGAAAUAAAGCGAGCAGUGGCUGGUGCGAACCGACUCCCGGCUCUAAGCCUUACUUGCGGUGGCCGGACUUGUCUGUGGCUGAAGCCGAGCCCGGGCUGUGACUCUCACGUCUGCACUGGAGGUGCGGAAACCUGGACUGGGGUUCGCCAGCCACAGACUGGCUACUCUGGUUCUUCUCUCCUCUUCCUUCUUCUAUUCUAACCAAACAAAACCAAACUCGAUGCUUGUGCCAGGCCUUGGCCAGUUCCGACGGUGAUGGAAACAUUUCUGGAUUUUAGCGUCUAAGGGAGCACUCAAGGGCUGUAAGGUUUGAUAUCACUGUCCCAACACUGCAGAGACCUUGAAGGUUCAUUGUGGGAUCUGUAGAACCCAUGGUUUGCGGUGACACUCAGAGGGGAUCUUUGGGAGAUUUAUAGAGCCGGUUUUUAGAGCUUUGUGGGUUCAGAGGCUGGCUGCAGAGUUUAUGAAAAGGGGCAGUGGGCUGGGGACACUGCUGGGGUUAUGGCUGUAGGGAGGUUCAUGUGUACUUGUUCCUUGGCAUGUGUCUGACUCUGUGUUGCUGCUGCAGUCCAGUGGGCAGGGGCACGGUUGUUUGGGACUGGGCUGCCCGAUAUCUGGCAUGGCCGGUGGUCCUGUUGUCGUUUAUGUGAUUGAUAGCAGGGACCUGAUCGCCGAGGUUGGCACAGGUUGGCAGGGAGAUGAGGAUGCAUUGUGGUUGUCUCCUCCUCCUCUCCUUCUUCCUCUUCCCCUUCCUCUUCUCCUUCCUGUUCUUGUUCUCCCUCAUCUUCCUCUUCCUUCUUCUCCCUCUUCUUCCUCUUCACUCUGCUCUCCUCUCUUCUUUUCCCCUUUCCUCUCCUCUCCCUUUCCUCAGGUCACAGCGGAGUGAAUCAGCUCGGUGGUGUCUUUGUCAACGGGCGGCCACUGCCGGACUCCACCCGGCAGAAGAUUGUAGAGCUAGCUCACAGC
This 1085-nucleotide small RNA is filed under the name Pongo abelii (Sumatran orangutan). Its description in RNAcentral is "retained intron". The record is from RNAcentral. Lineage: Eukaryota; Metazoa; Chordata; Mammalia; Primates; Hominidae.